AAGGCAAACUAUUCGAAAGAAUAGGACGCAAAGCUUCCGGCCUAAAAAGGUAUUAUUUGUAUCUUAAAUAAUAACCCUCAUGGUAGCGGGGUUGCCGAU
This 99-nucleotide non-coding RNA is filed under the name Photobacterium profundum. RNAcentral's name for it is "c-di-GMP sequence". It matches the Rfam family "c-di-GMP-I riboswitch aptamer". From Rfam's summary of the family: GEMM was predicted in a large-scale screen for bacterial structured RNA regulatory elements. Genes associated with GEMM are involved in a diverse array of functions, including chemotaxis regulation, signal transduction, secretion and chitin. Lineage: Bacteria; Pseudomonadati; Pseudomonadota; Gammaproteobacteria; Vibrionales; Vibrionaceae. The record is from RNAcentral.